CACUGGGAGAGGGGGCGGGCUGCUGGCUAGGAGGGGUCGGCGCGGUUCCUGGCGCGCCACCGGAAGGGCGUUAUCCUGGGGGACUGGGAGUGGAAACUUUCCUCCCGGGAAAGGAAGAAACCCGACUGGAGAAAGACUCAUUCAGUCUAAACCGCAGCCCCUGGAAUUGGUAGGCAAAACAGCUGUGCUGAAUUAACUGGGGAUCUGAGGCCGACCAUUUGAAAGUCUGGUCUUCUUCCAAAGCGAGUUUGGGGCCCUGCCUGAUGCUGGACUCUUACAUGGUAGGAGAGUGAGUCACCCAAAGAGAGAGGCGGCGGGAGACCGGAAAGUGGAAAUACAAAGAUGCCUUGGAAAGCUAAUUUGGUUCACGUUACAUUUCAGUCACCUUAGGUUCAUGAGUCAACAUUUCGGAUGAUUCAGGCCCUCUGGGAGUCAGGAAGCCCCAUACUCAUUGGUUUGAUACGCAGGAAUAAGCAUGAUACCCAUUCCACUUUUUCUGAGGCUGGAGAGUUUAAAGAAAGUAAUUGCAGAACAUGUAAGAAUCAGGAUCUUUCUGAUUUACCUUUCAAAAAUAUUCACUGCAUGCCUACUCUAGAGGCCCUGGAGAGAAAAGGAUAACCCGCUUUCAAGUUGCUCAACGUCUAAAUCUGUGCUGUACCUGACAGGUAUUGGCUACUUAGUCACUGGCUACUUGUGGCUACUGAUUGGACACUCAGAAUGUAUGUAGCUAGGCUGAAAUUAGAUGUGCUGUGUCAAAUGCGCACUGGAUUUCAAGAAUUAGUACCCCCCAAAUGUAAAAUAUCUCAGCUUUCGUAUUGACUUAAUGUUGAAAUUGAUAUUUUGGAUAUAUUGGGAUAAGUAUAAUAUUAAAUUAAUUUUACUUGUUCUUUUUAAAGCAGCUUCUAGAGUAUUUUAAAUACUGGCUCACAUUAUAUUUCUUUUGGACAGUGCUAGUCUAGAUUAAUAAUUAAGAAAUUUUGAUUGCCAUGGGGAAUCACUGGUUAUUUAAGCAAAUUCUUAGCUCCAACUAAUUUAUAUUACUGUGGCUUAAUUUGGGUAUUAAAAAAGAAAAGUAGGAGUUGGAGGGAGGGUUAAAUAGGUGGAACACAGAAGAUUUUGGGGGCAGUGAAACUGUUCUGUAUUAUCCUGUAUUGGUAGAUACAUAACAUUAUGCAUUUGACAAAACCCAUAGGACUAUACAACAGAAAGAGUGAACCCUAAUGUAGACUAUUGACUUUAGUUAAUGAUAUGUCAAUAUCAGUUCAUCAGUUGUAACAAAUGUACCACCUCAAUGCAAUAUGUUAAUAAUAGAGGAAACUGGUUAGGGGGCAGGAGUGGGAGUGUAUGGGAACUCUGCACUUCCUGUUCACUUUUUCUGUAAACCUAAAACUGCUCUAAGAAAUAAAGUCUGUGAACCUUUAAAAAA
Molecule: non-coding RNA, 1426 nt
Organism: Chlorocebus sabaeus (green monkey)
Lineage: Eukaryota; Metazoa; Chordata; Mammalia; Primates; Cercopithecidae
Source: RefSeq, a predicted model, not a curated record